UACGAAGGGGGCUAGCGUUGCUCGGAAUCACUGGGCGUAAAGCGCACGUAGGCGGAUUGUUAAGUCAGGGGUGAAAUCCUGGAGCUCAACUCCAGAACUGCCUUUGAUACUGGCAAUCUCGAGUUCGGGAGAGGUGAGUGGAACUGUGAGUGUAGAGGUGAAAUUCGUAGAUAUUCGCAAGAACACCAGUGGCGAAGGCGGCUCACUGGCCCGAUACUGACGCUGAGGUGCGAAAGCGUGGGGAGCAAACAGG
This 253-nucleotide ribosomal RNA is filed under the name uncultured bacterium. Its description in RNAcentral is "partial 16S ribosomal RNA". It matches the Rfam family "Bacterial small subunit ribosomal RNA", at positions 524 to 776 of the family's 1533-position model. The record is from RNAcentral.